RNAcentral lists this small nuclear RNA (115 nucleotides) under Notamacropus eugenii (tammar wallaby). Its description in RNAcentral is "U5 spliceosomal RNA (ENSMEUG00000018294.1)". It matches the Rfam family "U5 spliceosomal RNA". Rfam says of the family: U5 RNA is a component of both types of known spliceosome. The precise function of this molecule is unknown, though it is known that the 5' loop is required for splice site selection and p220 binding, and that both the 3' stem-loop and the Sm site are important for Sm protein binding and cap methylation. The record is from RNAcentral. Lineage: Eukaryota; Metazoa; Chordata; Mammalia; Diprotodontia; Macropodidae.
UUGUCUGGUUUCUCUUCAGAUCAUAUAAAUCUUUCACCUUUUACUAAAAAUUUCUAUGGAGUGGAACACUUAUAAAUGUAUAACUAUUUGUUAGGGACUCAGAGGCAGCAGAAUU